UCGAAGCCAUGAUGCACUCGUGAUCAC
Molecule: non-coding RNA, 27 nt
Filed under: Bombyx mori (domestic silkworm)
Lineage: Eukaryota; Metazoa; Arthropoda; Insecta; Lepidoptera; Bombycidae
Source: RNAcentral